UUGAAAGAAUUCAUCAAGGAACAACUAAUUGCUAUUCCAAUGGGAUCUCGAGCUCUAGUUCCAGCAGCAGCACAACCACCACCACCUGUAGCUCAACCGCCUAGCCCAGCGGCUUUAGCUGAUGAUCCAGGAGCUAUGCUUGCUGGUUUACUAUAAGUUCAUUGGGUAAGAGAAUACUUGUUGCGAAUGUCAGAGUGCAAGUUUUUUUUUCGUGUUAUCGUGAGUUCAGGUGGUUUGUAUCAAAAGCUUAUUCUUGUUCCUAAACAUUUUUUCAAUCUGUUUCUCCGUGAUGAUUUUUUUGAUGUCGUUGAAACUUAAUGUAUAGAGAAACAGAAGUUCACAGUCGUUUUAACUUAAUUUUUAAGUUUGGUAUUUUACACCUAAAAAUGAUUUGCAACAUUUAGUAGAUUUCAAUUGACAAGUAAUCUUCUAGUGUUCAGUAAAUAUUGGCAUAAUCUUCUAGUGUUCAGUAAAUGUUUACUUAAUGUUGCUGAAGAUGGGCAAUCACUAGACUCGUACUGUUACUGAAAUUAUAAUAUGUACCACAGUCUAGAUACUUGCUAUAUAGUAUUAAAUCGACCACUACGUUUUACAAAGAUGUCCCAAACAUUAUAAUAUGUUUGGAAGUAUUCAGUGGAUGUUCAGACCCUCCUUUGAAGAACAAGUGAGAGAGUGAGAGCAAUAAAAAUGAGCUUAUUUUAUACCAAUGCAAGGAGAAGUACUUAAUUUCAUGUGAGUUUAAUUUACUAUUUGUGACAAACACAUAUUUAGCUCAACUCGAGAUGUUAUUUACCUGAAACUGUAUAAAACUUUUCUCAAGUCUGAUGCCUGAAUUCUGACAUGAAACUUGUCCCAGUCUGUGUAAAAGGGUAUCAGAGAUUAUAACUGAAUGAGUUUUGUUCUUUUCAAGAGAUGAUGGACACUUGUCACAGUCCUGAGGAAUGUGCAGAGAGGUUUCCAAGUGUAUCUUAAGCCUAUAUGGUUUUUGUUGUUUUCUUAUUGUAGAGAGCUCUUUGUGAUUGGAGUUCAGAUUAUUAUUUGUAACUCGAUAUGGUAAUAGUCUAGUCAGGCUUGAAUUAUAUUCAAUUUGUAAAAAAAGUUAUACAUAUUUACUGUUUUACAUCAUAUUUGUACUCUAUGAGAAUCUGUGUACUGAUGUACCAAAGUUUGUAUGUAUUUUGUAAUUCUCGUAGCUAAAUGACAAACGGAUCGAUUUGAAAUCGUAUAACAUGCCAAUCAAUGUACUUUUUACUUAUAUGAUAUAAGAGUUCUCCAAAAAAAAAAACAUGUGAUAUUAUAUAAGUUAUAUCCAUAACCGACGCAAAAUAGAUACGAUGCAGACGUGCAGUACUGCUAAACUCUCUUCGUCUAUGGUUUAGGGAUCGUCAACUUUCCCUCAAGUUAGGUAUCAACGUGUGUGAAUUUUCUUAUAACGAAGAAUUUCUAAGACCUUAUGUACGCUGAUAGUUGAGUCACAACUCGUUUAUAAUCAUCAACCACUAGUCAACUAAGCCAAUAUGUUUUCUACGUGGCCUACUCACAGAAAUAUUAUGCAUAUAUGAGAGUUCUUUUUUUUCUGUAAACAAGGAGAGGUUAUUAUUAUUGUACCGCUACUUUGUAAAAAUAAAUUUUUCUAUGACUUGAGUAAAUCAAUAGAUUCUUAUUUAUCGUUAAACAAUUUAAAAAAAAAUCCAAGUGCAUGGAUAAAACAUCAAAAAAUUAGUGUAUAUCAGCUUUAAACGGAAGAAGGAUAUCAUGAACAUUCUAGAUAUAUAUGAGAAGGCAUCUGGACAACGACUAAAUGUAUCCAAAUCAUCAAUGUUAUUUGGAAACUGAGUAGAGGGUUUCCGAAAGCAAGAUAUAAAAGAUGUCUUAGGUUUCUUUUCAGAAGACGGCAUGGAGAUGUAUCUUAGAUUACCAGAACAAUUCGGUGGCUCAAAGAUAAAAGUGUUCUCCUUUGUACAAAAUAGGUUCAAUGGACAAGUCAACACUUGGUCAUCGAAACUCUAAAGGAAGAAAAGAAGUUCAAGUCAAAUUUGUGGCUCAAGCAGUUCUGACAUUUGUGAUGUCGUAUUACUUGCUUCCACAAGGUAUUACCCGAUAAACUAAAGAGCACAAAGUCUAAUUUUUGGUGGAACUUAAAACAGAACAGCAGAGGUAUACAUUACAUAGCAUGAGACGAGAUUUGUACCCCCAAAGAUUCGGGAGAACUAGAGUUUUGAGAUCUUCAUGACUUCAAUAUCGCGCUUCUUGCAAAAUAAUUGUAGAGACUAAUUCAUUAUCCGAACUCCUUAUUAGCAAGAGUUUUAAAAGGAUGGUACUAUAAUCACACUUCUCCCUUAGAAGAUCGGCGUACAUACUCAUCUUCAUAUGGAUGGAGUAGUAUCAUGGCAGCAAAACCUCUACUCAUAUCGGGUUUACAAAAAACAAGUGGUACAUGUCAAGAUACGAGGGUUUGGAGUGAGUCUUGGGUUCCAGAUGUAUUGGCUCGACCCCCUAGACCCGCUGACCACAUUGUAUACAUGCUACCCCAACUUUUUGUUCAGUCCUUCAUUAGGAAUGAUACCAAGGAGUGGGAUAUACAACUUCUACGGGAUUUCUUAAUAUCCCUUUGAUACUUGGGCUGAAACCUUCUCGCUCUUGUGCUCCAGAUGGAUAUAUUUUAAACCAUACAAAAUCAAGAGUUUAUUCAGUUAAAACCGGCUAUGACCUACUUCGAUCGACCAAGUUGAGUCUUUCACAGAAAGGGGCUGUAGAACCAAGUUUCACGAGCCUUCAGAGCCAUGUGUGGGAGAUAAAGACCCCGAGUAAGAUGAAACAUUUUUUGUGUAGGCUAUCUCGGGCUGUGUGGCUCAUGUAUAGACACUUGGGGACCGAUAGGAGUUGUCUUAGAUGUGCUGGUCCAGCGGAGUCGGUUAAUCAUCUUCUUUUUGAAUGCUCACCAGCUCUUCAGGUUUGGGCUUUAUCGGACUAUACGUCCCUUUUGGUUACUUCCCGAGUAGAUCCAUAUAUCAAAACAUGAACUUCAUGUUUUGGAAGAGAAAAAAAGUGGCUCUUCUGAGACCACAUUUCAAUACCUUCCCAUGGGUUUAUUGGUACAUUUGGAAGGCGAUGAACGACAAAUUCUUUAAUGGGAAAGACGUAUCCCUCAUUGACACCCUCCAACAUGCGUCUUUUGAGGCAAAAUCUUGGAGGAAGGCUAACAAAAAGAAGGAAGCAAAUGAAGAUCAUGACGAUCUCCAUACUAGAGAGGUUGAGACAGCGUCCCUUUGGAUAUCCCAAAUUCCUACUUGUCAAAUUGAUGCAUCAUGCAUCAAUAAUGACAGUAUAAAUGGCUUAAGGUGGAGUCUUAAGGAUCAAAUGGGCUUAUAAUACUUCGAAUUACGGGCGUGUAACAGAAACCUCUCAGUUUUGCAUGCUGAGAUGGAAUGGUUACUUUGGGCAACCUCAUGUAUAAGAGAUAGAAGGAUUACUUCGGUACGGUUUGAGACGGACUGUUCGGACUUAGUGGAUAUGACUAUAAAUCUGAUGGACUGGCCAGCAUUCGCGACAAAGAUCGAGGUGUUCUAAAAGUUACAUGAUAACUUCGAAGAUGUGAAACUGUCUCAUAUUCCUCAAAAUUGGAAUGUUCGGACAUACAUGUUAGCAAAAGAUGCAAAGACUAGAGGUUAUACUUUUUCAUAUAGAUCAGUUCCAGACAUAUGAAAAUGCUUUUCGAAAGAUCGGUUUGUCUUUUCUCUAUUUGAUUUAGUCUAGAUAGGUAGCCGGUAAAAAAAAACAGAGGAAGGAAAAGGAAAGGCGUAUGGUGAUAAAUUGGCUCAGAUAUUCAAAGGUAUUCUAUUAUAGUCCUAAUGAAAACAAAAGAAGAAGAAAUUCUUCCUUUGCUUUUUUUUUUUUUUGAACAACCCUUUGCUUUCUUUGGAAUGGUAGUUUUGAACAUGGAUUAAAUUAUACUUCUAAUAUUUUUAGCUCAUUGAUUCCCUAGGUUUUUAACUAUUGGCUAUUUUUCUCUGUUUUCUCUUUUUGAAUUUAUUAUUUGGAAAAGGUAAAACGUUUACCUUGAAUGGAAAUCCUACCUGAGAUGUUCUGUUCAUACCCUCUGCAGAGUUUCUUGAUUUUGUUCGACGUAAUAAUGCUACAGCCGCGAAACCUGAUGAACUUGUUGCAUUGACAUUGUAUACAGUAUAUAUUAACUAUUAUUUGCAUGCUUGGAUUGUUUUCUUAUUCAGUUUUGUUUUCUGUAACAGGUCAUAGGAAAUAUUGCUGAGAGAUUUCAUGCUUUAUGUUUGAAAGACAGUGGUGUCUUAUACGAGGAUCCUUAUAUCCAGGUUUGAUUUUUACGCGAAUAAUGGUUGCAGAGAAUGAGCUUUUCUAUUUCUUAUGUUCCUCAUUUUGUUGAGUGUUGGUAUCACUCAGAUCGGCAUCAAAGCUGAAUGGAGAGGACACCAUGGGAGACUUGUCCUCUUCUUGGGAAACAAGAGCACUAAUCCACUUACAUCAGUCCAAGCUCUAAUACUACCCCCUGCCCAUUUAAAAUUGGAACUGUCUCCAGUACCUGAUACAAUUCCUCCUCGAGCACAGGUACUUCAUUCUGUUGAUUUUGUCAAUUUUACUACUCAAUCACACACUCUCCUCUUUUCUGUAACCUUAUGUUUACUUAGUGUUCCAAUUUCUGUCGUGGUUAUAGGUACAAUCUCCACUUGAAGUGAUGAACAUCCGCCCUAGCAGAGAUGUCGCGGUUUUGGAUUUCUCGUACAAGCUUGGUACAAUCGUGGUACUUACCGCAACCCUCCUUUACUUGUUUUGGUGAAUGGUUUCUUUAGUAUCUGUGACUCUCUGCCUGACAAGCUGGAUCUUUUAUAGGUUGGUGCCAAACUCCGGAUCCCAGCAGUCUUGAAUAAGUUUCUUCAACCUCUACAAUUGACAUCUGAAGAGUUCUUCCCGCAAUGGAGAGCACUUUCAGGACCACCCUUGAAACUUCAGGAAGUUGUAUGUAUUUCAGCUUCUCUGACAUAAUAUCGAAUAAAAGUAUGAGUAGUGUAUAGCGUUGGAUAUCCACAUGGCUGGCUGUUCAUGUUACUCAAAGUUGUUAAAGAUAACUUCUGGGAUUACUACAUAUGCUUAGGAUAGUAUUAAUGUGGUGUCACACUGUUAAUCAUAAUCGGAUACUGCAAUUUCUUGCAGGUAAGAGGUGUAAGACCUCUAGCUCUUCCGGAAAUGGCGAACCUGUUCAACAGUUUCCGGGUGACAAUAUGCCCUGGGCUUGUAAGUCUUUGUUUACGAUCUGAGUCCCUCCUUAUGCUUUGUUGCACACAUGCAUUCUAUAAAUUAAACUUUUACGCUUUUCUGUUGUAGGAUCCGAACCCUAAUAAUCUAGUGGCAAGCACAACCUUCUACUCUGAAACUACAGGAGCCAUGCUCUGUUUGGUGAGAUUUCAACCAACUUUUGUCUUAGUGGUUUUGGCACUUGCCACUUUUUCCAGGUCCUUAAUUUCUUCUACUUAUCCCACGUUGUCCGUGUUUUUUUAUGUUUUUUUUUUCAGGCAAGAAUUGAAACAGACCCAGCAGACAGAACCCAACUGCGAAUGACAGUAGGCUCAGGAGAUCCUACCCUUACAUUCGAGUAUGACAACUCUGCCUCUUUUCACGAACUCAACCUCUCAAACACAGCUACUUACGCUUGACCUCUUUUGCCUUGCCUACAGGUUGAAAGAAUUCAUCAAGGAACAACUAAUUGCUAUUCCAAUGGGAUCUCGAGCUCUAGUUCCAGCAGCAGCACAACCACCACCACCUGUAGCUCAACCGCCUAGCCCAGCGGCUUUAGCUGAUGAUCCAGGAGCUAUGCUUGCUGGUUUACUAUAAGUUCAUUGGGUAAGAGAAUACUUGUUGCAAAUGUCAGAGUGCAAGUUUUUUUUCGUGUUAUCGUGAGUUCAGGUGGUU
RNAcentral lists this long non-coding RNA (5940 nucleotides) under Brassica napus (rape). RNAcentral describes it as "long non-coding RNA (BNAP_LNC023538)". The record is from RNAcentral. Lineage: Eukaryota; Viridiplantae; Streptophyta; Magnoliopsida; Brassicales; Brassicaceae.